UGCCAGACUCCUACGGGAGGCAGCAGUGGGGAAUAUUGGGCAAUGGGCGCAAGCCUGACCCAGCGACGCCGCGCGAGGGAAGACGGUCUUCGGAUUGUAAACCUCUUUCAGCAGGGAAGACGAAAGGACGGUACCUGCAGAAGAAGCCACGGCUAACUACGUGCCAGCAGCCGCGGUAAUACGGAGGAUGCGAGCGUUAUCCGGAUUUAUUGGGUUUAAAGGGUGCGCAGGCGGCACGGCAAGCCGGCGGUCAAAUCGCGGGGCUCAACCCCGCCCAGCCGUCGGAACUGCCGGGCUAGAGUGGGCGAGAAGUGCGCGGAAUGCGUGGUGUAGCGGUGAAAUGCAUAGAUAUCACGCAGAACUCCGAUUGCGAAGGCAGCGCACCGGCGCCCUACUGACGCUCAGGCACGAAAGCGUGGGUAUCGAACAGGAUUAGAUACCCUUGUAAC
RNAcentral lists this ribosomal RNA (449 nucleotides) under uncultured bacterium. RNAcentral's name for it is "partial 16S ribosomal RNA". It matches the Rfam family "Bacterial small subunit ribosomal RNA", at positions 329 to 795 of the family's 1533-position model. The record is from RNAcentral.